This 489-nucleotide ribosomal RNA is filed under the name uncultured bacterium. RNAcentral describes it as "bacterial SSU rRNA". It matches the Rfam family "Bacterial small subunit ribosomal RNA", at positions 33 to 507 of the family's 1533-position model. The record is from RNAcentral.
ACGCUGGCGGCGUGCCUAAUACAUGCAAGUCGAACGAACGGAUAAAGAGCUUGCUCUUUGAAGUUAGUGGCGGACGGGUGAGUAACACGUGGGUAACCUGCCUCACAGCUGGGAUAACAUCGAGAAAUCGAUGCUAAUACCGAAUGUGCUGAACAUCAUAAGAUGUUCAAGUGAAGACGGUUUCGGCUGUCACUGUGAGAUGGACCCGCGCUGGAUUAGCUAGUUGGUAAGGUAAUGGCUUACCAAGGCGACGAUCCAUAGCCGACCUGAGAGGGUGAUCGGCCACAUUGGGACUGAGACACGGCCCAAACUCCUACGGGAGACAGCAGUAGGGAAUCUUCGGCAAUGGACGAAAGUCUGACCGAGCAACGCCGCGUGAGCGAAGAAGGCCUUCGGGUCGUAAAGCUCUGUUGUUAGAGAAGAACAUGGGUGAGAGUAACUGUUCACCCCUUGACGGUAUCUAACCAGAAAGCCACGGCUAACUACGUG